This 26-nucleotide non-coding RNA is filed under the name Homo sapiens (human). The record is from RNAcentral. Lineage: Eukaryota; Metazoa; Chordata; Mammalia; Primates; Hominidae.
GAGCAGAGGGGUGUGUUUGCCAUGGA